RNAcentral lists this ribosomal RNA (180 nucleotides) under uncultured bacterium. Its description in RNAcentral is "partial 16S ribosomal RNA". It matches the Rfam family "Bacterial small subunit ribosomal RNA", at positions 1321 to 1500 of the family's 1533-position model. The record is from RNAcentral.
UGAAGCUGGAAUUGCUAGUAAUGGCAGGUCAGCAUACUGCCGUGAAUACGUUCCCGGGCCUUGUACACACCGCCCGUCACACCAUGAGAGUUGGGAAUACCCGAAGCCUGUGAGCUAACAUUUAUGAGGCAGCAGUCGAAGGUAGAAUCAAUGAUUGGGGUGAAGUCGUAACAAGGUAAC